This 344-nucleotide ribosomal RNA is filed under the name uncultured bacterium. Its description in RNAcentral is "bacterial SSU rRNA". It matches the Rfam family "Bacterial small subunit ribosomal RNA", at positions 8 to 350 of the family's 1533-position model. The record is from RNAcentral.
AGAGUUUGAUCAUGGCUCAGGAUGAACGCUAGCUACAGGCUUAACACAUGCAAGUCGAGGGGCAGCAUGUUGGUUGCUUGCAACCAACGAUGGCGACCGGCGCACGGGUGAGUAACGCGUAUCCAACCUACCCUUGUCCAUCGGAUAACCCGUCGAAAGGCGGCCUAACACGAUAUGCGGUUCACAGCAGGCAUCUAACGUGAACGAAAUGUAAAGGAGAAGGAUGGGGAUGCGUCUGAUUAGCUUGGUUGGCGGGUAACGGCCACCAAGGCGACGAUCAGUAGGGUCUGAGAGGAAGGUCCCCANAUUGGAACUGAGACACGGUCCAAACUCCUACGGAGGCA